UACGUAGGGGGCAAGCGUUGUCCGGAAUCAUUGGGCGUAAAGAGCGUGUAGGCGGUCUGUUGCGUCGGCUGUGAAAACCCGAGGCUCAACCUCGGGCCUGCAGCCGAUACGGGCAGACUAGAGUUCGGCAGGGGAGACUGGAAUUCCUGGUGUAGCGGUGAAAUGCGCAGAUAUCAGGAGGAACACCGGUGGCGAAGGCGGGUCUCUGGGCCGAUACUGACGCUGAGGAGCGAAAGCGUGGGGAGCGAACAGG
This 253-nucleotide ribosomal RNA is filed under the name uncultured bacterium. RNAcentral's name for it is "partial 16S ribosomal RNA". It matches the Rfam family "Bacterial small subunit ribosomal RNA", at positions 524 to 776 of the family's 1533-position model. The record is from RNAcentral.